ACGGCAGCACAGCCUUCGGUCUGGUGGCGAGUGGCGAACGGGUGAGUGUGUAUCGGAACNUGCCCCGUAUCGGGGGAUAACUACGCGAAAGCGUAGCUAAUACCGCAUACGCCCUACGGGGGAAAGCAGGGGAUCGUAAGACCUUGCACUAUUGGAGCGGCCGAUAUCGGAUUAGCUAGUUGGUGGGGUAACGGCUCACCAAGGCGACGAUCCGUAGCUGGUUUGAGAGGACGACCAGCCACACUGGGACUGAGACACGGCCCAGACUCCUACGGGAGGCAGCAGUGGGGAAUUUUGGACAAUGGGGGAAACCCUGAUCCAGCCAUCCCGCGUGUGCGAUGAAGGCCUUCGGGUUGUAAAGCACUUUUGGCAGGAAAGAAACGUCGUGGGUUAAUACCCCGCGAAACUGACGGUACCUGCAGAAUAAGCACCGGCUAACUACGUGCCAGCAGCCGCGGUAAUACGUAGGGUGCAAGCGUUAAUCGGAAUUACUGGGCGUAAAGCGUGCGCAGGCGGUUCGGAAAGAAAGAUGUGAAAUCCCAGAGCUUAACUUUGGAACUGCAUUUUUAACUACCGAGCUAGAGUGUGUCAGAGGGAGGUGGAAUUCCGCGUGUANCAUUGAAAUGCGUAUAUAUGCGGAGGAACACCGAUGGCCAAGGCUCCCCCCUGGNAUAACACUGACGCUCNUGCACGAAAACGUGGGGGAGCAAACAGGAUUAAAUACCCUGGUAGUCC
RNAcentral lists this ribosomal RNA (735 nucleotides) under Achromobacter sp. IFC_YC16. RNAcentral describes it as "bacterial SSU rRNA". It matches the Rfam family "Bacterial small subunit ribosomal RNA", at positions 66 to 796 of the family's 1533-position model. Lineage: Bacteria; Pseudomonadati; Pseudomonadota; Betaproteobacteria; Burkholderiales; Alcaligenaceae. The record is from RNAcentral.